RNAcentral lists this unclassified non-coding RNA (497 nucleotides) under Cratystylis centralis. RNAcentral's name for it is "contains 3 external transcribed spacer, ETS". The record is from RNAcentral. Lineage: Eukaryota; Viridiplantae; Streptophyta; Magnoliopsida; Asterales; Asteraceae.
GCAUCUUGGGGGUUGUUUUGAUUGGUUUGUUUCCGGUGGUUGGCUCUCUGCUUGUGCAACAACUUCCACCUGGCAGACCUCUUCAGUUACCCGUCAAGGUUUUAUUGCCUUGAGUGCGUUGUAGGUUUCCUGUGUUGCAUACCUAUGUGACGGUAUCGUUUGGAUCCAUCAAAUUGAGUUUCAUCUUUCGUCAUGCUUGUGGCGUGGGAUGAACCUUAAAGCGAUCUCUAUGGUCUACCUUGUUAACGCAUACGUGUUGAUGUUGUGGCCCAUUGAGCGUUGCUUGGUUUUAUGGAUAUGGAACAUGUUGUGGGCACAGGGUCUCACAUGAUCCUUGUUUUGUCCAAGUUGAGCGCUAUCGUUUCUCUAAGAUGACUGCCUAGCCCGAAUUGGCUCGUACCAUCGGGUGGGAUAUGUUGUCAAGGUGGGAUGCUAGCGUUCUUGCUUCUCAAAAACGACCGCCUACAGCGUGUGGGUCAUGUCGAAGAGGGAUGCUA